Long non-coding RNA from Stegostoma tigrinum, 1001 nucleotides. RefSeq lists it as uncharacterized. The record is from RefSeq and is a predicted model, not a curated record. The transcript has 3 exons. NCBI's taxonomy places the organism in Eukaryota, Metazoa, Chordata, Chondrichthyes, Orectolobiformes, Stegostomatidae.
CCUCGCCUGUGCGUUUCUCAUGAAGUUCUAUUUACCACGGGGUUUGUUUUAGAGAAUGGAUUUUAUUCAGAAGGUGGCUCAUCUGUUUGUUUCCCAGGAGUGUCCUCCUCAACAGGAGAAAACAGCACUCAAUAGGGCUAAGAGAACCAAGACAGGUGGUAGGAUACUGACAUCUGGCUCCUCAGCCCUAAAGAGGAGAACAUCCGGGCCUAGGUUGGGCAGGAUAAUGACCAAUCACGUGAUGCUGCUGAAAACUUCAUGUCUUGGCAAAUAGGUGGAAAACAACUCAAAUAUAGGGUAAAAAGAGGCAAGAUGGGUAGAGGGCUGCCUGACAUUUGGCUCCUUACCCCUCAAGUGAAGAAGAUCCUAACUCUGACUGCCCUGAGGUAGAUCUCUAAAAGUGAAGAAUUACAGUUAUGAUGCAAAGUUUGAAUGUGAUUUGGUGACUCUCAGUGUCAUCAAUAUCUGGGCGGGAAGUUGUGCAAUCUAUGGAAUCUGUCUUGGGCACAUAUGUAUUUGAUGUAUUUUGUGGGUGAUUGGCCAUAGUUUGGGAGCUUAUAUUUACCUCAUGUUAAUUCUGGUUGUUAGAAUAUAUGUUGUAUAUGUAACAGAUUGCUUUACUUCUCCAGCCUUGUAUCGUAAAGUUUAAUUUGUUUGUUUUAACAUAAUGGAAUCUUGUGUCUUUAUUCUCUUAGUAAAUAACUGGGAUUUCAAACUUUGUCAAUUUUAAACAAAAAUGUAAUUGAUCCUUAUCCAGGUUGUAACACAAAUUUGAUAAUGUCAACCGGGAAUCAUAAUGUACUUCACACUCGUCUAUAGAAAGGCAUAUUGGAUAUUUUUCCAAUUGUAUGUAUUUAUUUUCCUCUGCUUUAUAGGCUAAUGCAAUUCGAAAGUAAUGUGUUAUGUGAAGUAUUUUGAGAUGACAUGACAUACGUGAUUCUAAAAGUGAUUCAAUCAAUUUAAGAUGUGAGUGGCUGAUCUAAAUAAAGUUUGUAACAUUU